Non-coding RNA from Canis lupus familiaris (dog), 262 nucleotides. The record is from the annotation of a RefSeq genome assembly. NCBI's taxonomy places the organism in Eukaryota, Metazoa, Chordata, Mammalia, Carnivora, Canidae.
GAUUUGCAUGAAGUGCUUUCUUAACCUCAUAGGACAGGAGACAUGAAAAGGUCCAGGGACACCCCAUUCCAUCCCAGGAGCCUGAGGAAGCUACAAUCUCUGAGAGUCCUCACCAUGGCUUGGACGGUGCUUCUUCUUGUGCUCCUUGCCUAUGGCUCAGGAGCAGAUUCUCAGACUGUGGUAACCCAGGAGCCAUCACUCUCAGUGUCUCCAGGAGGGACAGUCACACUCACAUGUGGCCUCAGCUCUGGGUCAGUCUCUA